This is an RNA transcript of Suncus etruscus (white-toothed pygmy shrew), 6722 nucleotides long. It is a transcript of the gene named TRAF2 and NCK interacting kinase, with no coding region annotated. The transcript has 33 exons. NCBI's taxonomy places the organism in Eukaryota, Metazoa, Chordata, Mammalia, Eulipotyphla, Soricidae. The record is from RefSeq and is a predicted model, not a curated record.
CCGACGCCCCGGGGCCGGGGCUGGCGCGGGCGAGAGGCUGAGCCCGGGCCUCGGCUCGACCCCCGCAUGAGGACGCGAGCGACCUAGAGCGAGGUGGAAUCUCCCAGGGGAGAAGCCGUGGGGUUUUGGGGUUUCGGGGGUCCGUGUCUUCGGCGAAGAAGUCGACAUGGCGAGCGACUCCCCGGCUCGCAGCCUGGAUGAAAUCGAUCUCUCGGCUCUGAGGGACCCUGCAGGGAUCUUUGAAUUGGUGGAACUUGUUGGAAAUGGAACUUAUGGACAAGUUUAUAAGGGCCGUCAUGUCAAAACAGGCCAGCUUGCAGCCAUUAAGGUUAUGGAUGUCACAGGGGAUGAAGAGGAAGAAAUCAAGCAAGAAAUUAACAUGCUGAAGAAAUAUUCUCACCACAGGAAUAUUGCUACAUACUAUGGUGCUUUUAUUAAAAAGAACCCACCUGGCAUGGAUGACCAACUUUGGUUGGUGAUGGAGUUUUGUGGCGCUGGUUCUGUCACUGACCUCAUCAAGAACACAAAAGGGAAUACUUUGAAGGAGGAGUGGAUUGCAUAUAUCUGCAGGGAGAUCUUAAGGGGGCUGAGUCACCUGCACCAGCAUAAAGUGAUUCAUCGAGAUAUUAAAGGGCAAAAUGUCUUGCUGACGGAAAAUGCUGAAGUCAAGCUGGUUGACUUUGGUGUCAGUGCUCAGCUUGAUAGAACAGUGGGUAGGAGAAAUACUUUCAUUGGGACUCCCUACUGGAUGGCCCCAGAAGUGAUUGCCUGUGAUGAAAACCCAGACGCCACAUACGAUUUCAAGAGUGACCUGUGGUCUUUGGGAAUCACCGCCAUUGAGAUGGCAGAAGGUGCUCCCCCUCUCUGUGACAUGCAUCCCAUGCGAGCCCUCUUCCUAAUCCCCCGAAACCCAGCACCUCGGCUGAAGUCAAAGAAGUGGUCAAAAAAAUUCCAGUCAUUUAUUGAGAGCUGCUUAGUCAAGAAUCAUAGUCAGAGGCCAGCUACAGAACAGCUGAUGAAGCACCCAUUUAUCCGAGACCAACCUAAUGAGCGACAGGUCCGUAUCCAGCUCAAGGAUCACAUUGACAGGACAAAGAAGAAGCGAGGAGAAAAAGAUGAGACAGAAUAUGAGUACAGUGGCAGUGAGGAAGAAGAGGAAGAGAAUGACUCUGGAGAGCCCAGCUCCAUCCUAAACCUGCCUGGGGAGUCAACACUGCGCCGGGACUUCCUGAGGCUCCAGCUGGCCAACAAGGAGCGCUCAGAGGCCCUGCGAAGGCAGCAGUUGGAGCAGCAGCAGCGGGAGAAUGAAGAGCACAAAAGGCAGCUGCUGGCUGAGCGGCAAAAACGCAUAGAGGAGCAAAAAGAACAGCGCCGGAGGCUAGAGGAGCAACAAAGGCGAGAGAAGGAGCUGCGGAAGCAACAAGAGCGGGAGCAACGCAGGCACUAUGAGGAACAGAUGCGACGGGAAGAGGAGAGGAGACGAGCGGAGCAUGAACAGGAGUACAUCAGGCGCCAGUUAGAGGAAGAGCAAAGACAGUUAGAGAUCUUGCAACAGCAGCUACUGCAUGAACAAGCUCUACUUCUGGAAUAUAAGCGCAAACAGUUGGAAGAACAAAGACAAGCAGAAAGACUGCAGAGACAGCUAAAGCAAGAGCGAGACUAUUUGGUUUCCCUUCAGCAUCAGCGACAAGAGCAGAGGCCUGUGGAGAAGAAACCACUGUACCAUUACAAAGAAGGGAUGAGCCCUAGUGAGAAACCAGCAUGGGCUAAGGAGGUAGAAGAACGGUCAAGACUCAACCGACAGAGUUCACCUGCCAUGCCUCACAAAGUUGCCAACAGGAUAUCUGAUCCUAACCUGCCCCCAAGGUCAGAGUCCUUCAGUAUCAGUGGGGUUCAGCCUGCUCGGACACCCCCUAUGCUCAGACCAGUUGAUCCCCAGAUUCCACAUCUGGUGGCUGUCAAAUCCCAGGGACCUGCCUUGACCGCCUCACAGUCAGUGCAUGAGCAGCCCACCAAGGGCCUUUCAGGCUUUCAGGAGGCUCUGAACGUGACCUCUCAUCGUGUUGAGAUGCCACGGCAGAACUCGGAUCCCACCUCUGAAAACCCUCCUCUUCCUACUCGUAUUGAAAAGUUUGACCGAAGUUCUUGGUUACGACAGGAAGAAGACAUUCCACCAAAGGUGCCUCAAAGAACAACUUCUAUUUCCCCAGCAUUAGCCAGAAAGAAUUCUCCUGGAAAUGGUAAUGCUCUAGGACCCAGACUAGGAUCUCAACCCAUCAGAGCAAGCAACCCUGACCUGCGGAGAACUGAGCCCAUCUUGGAGAGCCCCCUACAACGGACAAGCAGUGGCAGUUCCUCCAGCUCCAGCACCCCUAGCUCCCAGCCUAGCUCCCAAGGAGGCUCUCAACCAGGAUCACAAGCAGGGUCCAGUGAACGGACCAGAGUUCGAGCAAACAGUAAGUCAGAAGGAUCACCUGUACUUCCACAUGAGCCUUCCAAGGUGAAACCAGAAGAAACCAGGGACAUAACCAGACCGAGUCGACCAGCUAGCUAUAAAAAAGCUAUAGAUGAGGACCUGACGGCAUUAGCCAAAGAAUUAAGAGAACUCCGAAUUGAAGAAACAAAUCGUCCAUUGAAGAAGGUGACGGAUUACUCCUCCUCCAGUGAGGAGUCAGAAAGUAGUGAUGAAGAGGAGGAAGAUGGAGAAAGCGAGACCCAUGAUGGGACAGUGGCUGUCAGUGACAUACCCAGACUCAUACCAACAGGAACUCCGGGGAGCACAGAGCAGUACAAUGUGGGUGUGGUGGGCACCCAUGGGCUGGAGACCUCCCAUGCUGACACUUUCAGCAGCAGUAUUUCAAGAGAAGGAACCCUGAUGAUACGAGAGACUUCCGGAGAGAAGAAGCGAUCUGGCCACAGUGACAGCAAUGGCUUUGCUGGCCACAUCAACCUCCCAGACCUGGUGCAACAAAGCCAUUCGCCAGCUGGGACCCCCACUGAGGGCCUGGGACGUGUCUCCACCCAUUCCCAGGAGAUGGACUCUGGAACUGAAUAUGGCAUUGGAAGCAGUACUAAAGCCUCCUUCACCCCCUUUGUGGACCCCAGAGUGUAUCAGACAUCUCCCACAGAUGAAGAUGAAGAGGAUGAAGAAUCAUCAGCUACAGCUCUCUUUACUAGUGAACUUCUUAGGCAAGAACAAGCCAAACUCAAUGAAGCGAGGAAAAUUUCUGUGGUCAAUGUGAACCCAACCAACAUUCGGCCCCAUAGUGACACACCAGAAAUCAGAAAAUACAAGAAACGAUUCAAUUCAGAAAUACUUUGCGCAGCUCUUUGGGGUGUAAAUCUUCUGGUGGGAACUGAAAAUGGCCUGAUGCUUUUGGACAGAAGUGGGCAAGGCAAAGUCUAUAAUCUCAUCAAUCGGAGGCGGUUUCAGCAGAUGGAUGUUCUGGAGGGAUUAAAUGUCCUUGUGACAAUAUCAGGGAAGAAAAAUAAACUACGAGUUUACUAUCUUUCUUGGUUAAGAAACAGAAUACUACACAAUGAUCCAGAAGUUGAAAAAAAACAAGGGUGGAUAACAGUUGGAGACUUGGAAGGCUGUAUACAUUACAAAGUUGUUAAAUAUGAAAGGAUCAAAUUUUUGGUGAUUGCCUUAAAGAACGCUGUGGAGAUAUAUGCAUGGGCUCCGAAACCUUAUCAUAAAUUUAUGGCAUUUAAGUCUUUUGCAGAUCUCCAGCACAAGCCCCUGCUUGUUGAUCUAACUGUAGAAGAAGGCCAGAGAUUAAAGGUUAUAUUUGGCUCACACACUGGUUUCCAUGUAAUUGAUGUUGAUUCAGGAAACUCUUAUGAUAUCUACAUACCAUCUCAUAUUCAGGGCAAUAUCACUCCUCAUGCCAUUGUCAUCUUGCCUAAAACAGAUGGAAUGGAAAUGCUUGUUUGCUAUGAGGAUGAGGGGGUGUAUGUGAACACCUAUGGCCGAAUAACUAAGGAUGUGGUGCUCCAAUGGGGAGAAAUGCCCACGUCUGUGGUUUUGGAAAUUCCUUUUGACAGCCUACAUUCAUUCCAAUCAGAUAAUGGGCUGGGGCGAGAAAGCUAUUGAGAUCCGGUCAGUGGAAACAGGACAUUUGGAUGGAGUAUUUAUGCAUAAGCGAGCUCAAAGGUUAAAGUUUCUUUGUGAAAGAAAUGAUAAGGUAUUUUUUGCAUCCGUGCGAUCUGGAGGAAGUAGCCAAGUGUUUUUCAUGACCCUCAACAGAAAUUCCAUGAUGAACUGGUAACAGAAGAGCACUUGGCACUUAUCUUCAUGGCGUUAUUUCUAAUUUAAAAGAACAUAACUCAUGUGGACUUAUGCCAGUCUAGAGGCAGAAUCAGAAGGCUUGGUUGAACAUAGAGCUUUCCCCUUUUCCUCUCCCUCCACCCGUCCCAAAACAGUCCAUCUUUCAAUGUUGCAACCUGGUUGAGAAGGAGAGAAAAAGGUGGCAGAAAUUUCCAGGAGAUCCCCCAAGAAUGCUGCGUUUUCUGUGGACAAUGAUGGACCAUGUGCCCUUCGGAGUUAGGGAUAGAAACAAAUAUUGUGUGCUCUUAUGCUUAAGCUGUGUUCCAGUGGAGUUUGAGUUCGGGGUUGUUUUUUUUGUUUGUUUGUUUGGUUUUUUUUUUUUUACCUUUUUUCUUUACCCCUUACUUUUUAAGAAUGGGGAGAGUAUGCAUAGUGAGCAAAAGAGUCUUUUUAAUUCUGUCUGCCUGCUAGCUUUAAGUAUAUGAUAUGUUAUAAAAUUUCAAAUUUCAAAUGGUGAGAGACAGCACAAUAAAUGUACCUUAUCUCCUUACACUGAAGGCCAUAACUGCAUAGUGGGAUAAUUUUAGAACUCUUUUGCCUUCACCAACCCAAAAGGUUGCUUUUUUGAUAGCGACUGGCUAAUGAAUUUUUAAAAGAGAAGAAAAAUACUAGUUUUCCCCUCUUUGGGGAAAUAGAUUUUAAAUGGCUAAACUACUAGCCUUAGCCUAAAAAAUUCAACUACCAUUUUUUUGAGGCUGGCAGGCCCUCUUUUUAUAUGGCCCUGUUCAGAAAGGAGAGUGUUGAAUGGGAGAGUAGCACUAUUGAGUUGUCGGCUCUUGCAAUCGAGGGAAUCUGUAACACAAAGUUUCAUCAGCUCUAUUGCAACCAGUCAGAGCCCCCAAGAGAUGAUAGAUGGGGUUAGACAGCAAGAGCUUCUGGGGAACAAGCUAAGUUUCAGAGAGAGAUAUUCUUUUUUAAAUGCACAAAGCCUCCCAGCUAAUUGGUCUCUCAGUUUGAACUUGAGUUGGACUGAGACCAUUGAAUUCUUUCUGGGAACUAGGCAAUGGAUGACAUGCAGGCUCUGGUCAUACCCAGAUUACUCCUGAGGGUACUACUUUUUCAAGAUGAAAACUGUGACUGAAAAAAAUAAUAACAAUAAAUGUUUCUGAGCUGCCUGUGUUCUCUCUGGAUUGAUGAGAGAAGGGACUAGACUACUGAGCCUGCCUGAGACACUGCAGAUACCAUUGGUUCCAGUUUUAGAGAAUGCAAAAGCAAGGCUUUGGCCUAAAUUCUGAGACCCUAAUCAUUUAACCUUCUAAAUGACCCGACAUACAGUAAACAACAUUUGUGCAGAAAUAUGUAUGUAUUUAGUUCAGAUUGAUUCGUGUCCUUAUAAACUCUUACUCGGAUGAUUUGAACUCUUCUGUGACUGUCUAGGAUUUUUUUCCCAAAGCUACAAGCAUGGCCGCCUGUGGUAUCAAGGUGUUGCAAAAUCAAAAAUACAAAAAAAAAAAAAAAAAACCCACAAAAAAAACACAAAAACAAACAAACAACCCAAUCUGUGUUGCGCUUCCUGUUUUAACCUACCUCGUUUUGUUUGUUUUUGUUUCAUUGUUCUCUUCAGGAGACAUAUAGAGAGCUCAAUUGGCAAUCUCAGGUGUAUCUAAUAUUCUUUGAAAAUAAAACAGUAGUUGACCAAAUUGUUCUUUAAACAUUGGGAGCAAAUGUUUCCAGUAACCAUAAAAAAAAAAUGUGGCUCAUUUCUGAAGAAUAUAUUUACUGUAGAUUUUUUUCAAAUCUAUGAUUUUAUCUAAAUACACGUGCAGCUGAUGUACUAUUAAUGAGAACAAAAUACACCUUGGGAAAAUAGAGCAUUCCAUUCUGAUGGUUUGGGUAAGGGGGGAGAAGGAAUACUAUUCUGGGUAGCGAAUUGGAUGACGAUAGCCCUCUUAUGAAGGUGGUUGUCAUCUGCAUUUAUUUUUUUGUAGGCAACACACAGUAAUGGAACUGAAGAUUCCCUUCAGGCAAUCUAAGAUGUUCUUGUGGUCCCUUUAGCUCUCAAAAGCAAUGAAACCCUCCUGUUCUCAUUUUUAUUGCUGCAGAACCGCUGCUGCUGUAAAAUACAAUCUUCACAAAUUCCUUGCAAAAAAUUUAGCAAUAACUUUUUGGAAUGAAUUUAGCAACUACUGUAAUUGGAUGCUGAUGUGGACUAAAUAUAUUGUUGUGGGUCUCAUCCCCAAAUGUGAUUGCCACCAGCUCUUUAUAUUGCUGCUGUGGUAUUUUAAACCAGAAGCUUCUUUAAAUUAUGUUGCGAACUGAUCUUUGUUUUUAUGUUUUGUUUUGUUUUCAUUUCUAAGUGAUGUUUGAAACACACAGCUUUAAAUGAUUUUUUUUAUUGUGGGAUUUUGGGUACAGUUAAGAAAUAAAAGGGAAUCAUUGUGUUUAAAAAUAA